AUCCUCUAUUCCUAUCUCUGUCUUCUUCCUUCCUUCCUCUUUUUCCUUUUCAUUUUCUCUCCUUUCAUCUCUCGUCCUCUACCUCUCUGCAAGGGAAACCGCAACUAAUGAGCAACAUCGAUGCCUACACUACAGUUCUCGACAUCGUCCGCACCACCCUCAGCCCUCGCGGAAAGCGAUUCAUGCCUCCACUUUCUCUCACUGAUCUGGUGUUUGGUGGUGUGGUGGAGGCUUUGACGGGUUUCAGAGGUGGUGGGUCGUGGUGUUUGGCCCGUGGUUUUGUGUUUUGUGAAGGAUAUUUUUUCUGCUCAAGUUACAACAAUGGCUUUCUUUGGUAGAAUUGGGAAUUUGUUACGACAGACAGCGAGCAGACAGGUUAGUUCAUAAUUGUUUUCAUCCCCUUUGUUUUUUCAGGCUAUACGUUGUAUGUUAUCUGCUCCAAGCACAAAACUGUUUAUUGGAGGUGCGUUUGAACUUUAUUUUGAGCUGGAUGCUUUUUAUGGUUUUUUUUAUUCUUUAUCUUUUUUGAUAAUAAUGAUUUGUGUACAUAUUUGUUUGUCACGGGUGUUUCAUAUUCUACUGGCGUUGUUAAUGGUAAAUAGUUAGAUUCUCUUUUUUUUUUUUUUUUUUUUACUUUUGGUGUCUUUAACAAGUUGGUUUCCAGGGGGAGUCAAUGAAAUUAUGUUGACAUAUUUUAUGUUUCCCUUGAAUGUCACGCUCUUUGUAGCUAGGAUAAUUAUGGAUCGUGAAACUGGUAGAUCCAGAGGAUUUGGCUUUGUUACAUACACUUCGGAUGAGGAGGCAUCAAGUACCAUUCAGGCCUUGGAUGGUUAGGUAACAGACGGUUUGUUUUUAGUGUUAUAAUCUUGCGAGUGGCAUUGGUUGUUAUGGUUGUUGCAAAAUCAUCGUGUUUGAACUUUUAACACCUACCAAUAGCUUCAAAUGAAUGAAGUACGCACUACGCAGUAUGCAUGUGUGCAUGCUAUGCUAAUUUUGUUUACUUAACAGUGUUUUGAACUUGGCAAGCUUUUAAAGUGUUCUCGUGGUGGACAUGAUGUGACAUAAUAAUGCAGUUUUCAGUUGGAGAAGAUGAGGUUGUGAUGACCACAUCAGGUGAUGCGGACCCAUAUUCAAAUCCGAUGUUUUAAAAUAUGUAGUUGUUUCAAGUAAAAUACAUGUCAAUAUGAGCUUUAUUUUACGAUACAUAUAUUUUGGAUGAUAUCUAUGAAGAUUGUCAUCAUUGGCUAAUACUAUUGUCUUCUGGAAUCAUCAUUUCAUUGUGCCCUUACCUGCUCACUUUUCUUACUAAUUAUCAUAGUUGUCUAUAGCACACCAAAUAACAGUGCUAUCACAGAAUCAAGAAGCUCUGCUUGGUAGAAUGUUAUAUAUUUGUCAGCAUAGAAAACAGAGAAAAUAAAUGACAAACUUAUGUUACUUGUCAA
Molecule: long non-coding RNA, 1442 nt
Organism: Glycine soja
Lineage: Eukaryota; Viridiplantae; Streptophyta; Magnoliopsida; Fabales; Fabaceae
Exons: 3
Source: RefSeq, a predicted model, not a curated record